RNAcentral lists this ribosomal RNA (673 nucleotides) under uncultured marine eukaryote. Its description in RNAcentral is "SSU rRNA". It matches the Rfam family "Eukaryotic small subunit ribosomal RNA", at positions 617 to 1291 of the family's 1831-position model. The record is from RNAcentral.
GGUUAAAAAGCUCGUAGUUGGAUCUUGGAAUGUGUUCAAGCGGGUCAGCUUCUGGCUGUGCGCUGCUUGACGUGUUCUUCUAUUUGGUUUUGGUGCGGUGCGCUUAACUGCGUGUCGCUCCCGGCCGAAACGUUUACCUUGAAAAAAUUAGAGUGUUCAAAGCAGACCUGUUUGAGUCUGAAUAUUCGUGCAUGGAAUAAUGAAAUAUGAAUUCGGUUCUAUUUUGUUGGUUUUCGGAACUCGAGUUAAUGAUCAAGAGGGACAGACGGGGGCAUUCGUACUCUGCCGUUAGAGGUGAAAUUCUUGGAUCGGCGGAAGACGCGCAACUGCGAAAGCAUUUGCCAAGAAUGUUUUCUUUAAUCAAGAACGAUAGUCGGAGGUUCGAAGACGAUCAGAUACCGUCCUAGUUUCGUCUGUAAACUAUGCCAGCUAACGAUCAGACAGAGUUCUCUACGACUUGUCUGGCAGUUUCCGGGAAACCAAAGCGUUUGGGUUCCGGGGGAAGUAUGGUUGCAAAGCUGAAACUUAAAGGAAUUGACGGAAGGGCACCACCAGGAGUGGAGCCUGCGGCUUAAUUUGACUCAACACGGGGAAACUCACCCGGCCCGGACACAGUGAGGAUUGACAGAUUGAGAGUUCUUUCUUGAUUCUGUGGGUGGUGGUGCAUGGCCGU